CAGACUAUAGCGCAGUUGGUAGCGCGCGGGGCUGGGGGUCCUGAGGUCGGCGGUUCGAGCCCGCCUAGUCUGACUA
RNAcentral lists this transfer RNA (76 nucleotides) under Candidatus Magasanikbacteria bacterium CG_4_10_14_0_2_um_filter_41_10. RNAcentral describes it as "tRNA-Pro". It matches the Rfam family "tRNA". Rfam says of the family: Transfer RNA (tRNA) molecules are approximately 80 nucleotides in length. The record is from RNAcentral. Lineage: Bacteria; Candidatus Magasanikiibacteriota. RNAcentral also lists the same sequence under 1 other name.